This 253-nucleotide ribosomal RNA is filed under the name uncultured bacterium. RNAcentral describes it as "partial 16S ribosomal RNA". It matches the Rfam family "Bacterial small subunit ribosomal RNA", at positions 524 to 776 of the family's 1533-position model. The record is from RNAcentral.
UACGAAGGGUGCAAACGUUGCUCGGAAUCAUUGGGCGUAAAGCGCACGUAGGCGGCUUUCUAAGUCGGAUGUGAAAUCCCUCGGCUCAACCGAGGACGUGCAUCCGAAACUGGAAGGCUCGAGUAUGGAAGAGGGUCGCGGAAUUCUCGGUGUAGAGGUGAAAUUCGUAGAUAUCGAGAGGAACACCGGUGGCGAAGGCGGCCAACUGGACGAAUACUGACGCUGAGGCGCGAAAGCUAGGGGAGCAAACGGG